Molecule: ribosomal RNA, 254 nt
Filed under: uncultured bacterium
Lineage: Bacteria
Description: partial 16S ribosomal RNA
Rfam family: Bacterial small subunit ribosomal RNA
Source: RNAcentral
UACGUAGGGUGCGAGCGUUGUCCGGAAUUAUUGGGCGUAAAGAGCUUGUAGGUGGUUUGUCGCGUCUGCUGUGAAAAUCCGAGGCUCAACCUCGGACUUGCAGUGGGUACGGGCAGACUAGAGUGUGGUAGGGGAGACUGGAAUUCCUGGUGUAGCGGUGGAAUGCGCAGAUAUCAGGAGGAACACCGGUGGCGAAGGCGGAUCUCUGGGCCUUACCUGACGCUGGAGGCGCGAAAGCUAGGGGAGCGAACAGG